CCUACGGGAGGCAGCAGUGAGGAAUAUUGGUCAAUGGACGAGAGUCUGAACCAGCCAAGCAGCGUGAAGGAUGACUGCUCUAUGGGUUGUAAACUUCUUUUAUAUGGGAAUAAAAUGUUCCACGUGUGGGAUUUUGUAUGUACCAUAUGAAUAAGGAUCGGCUAACUCCGUGCCAGCAGCCGCGGUAAUACGGAGGAUCCGAGCGUUAUCCGGAUUUAUUGGGUUUAAAGGGAGCGUAGGGGGAUUGUUAAGUCAGUUGUGAAAGUUUGCGGCUCAACCGUAAAAUUGCAGUUGAAACUGGCAGUCUUGAGUGCAGUAGAGGUAGGCGGAAUUCGUGGUGUAGCGGUGAAAUGCUUAGAUAUCACGAAGAACUCCGAUUGCGAAGGCAGUUCACUGGACUGCAACUGACACUGAGGCUCGAAAGUGUGGGUAUCAAACAGGAUUAGAUACCCGAGUAGUC
This 460-nucleotide ribosomal RNA is filed under the name uncultured bacterium. RNAcentral's name for it is "partial 16S ribosomal RNA". It matches the Rfam family "Bacterial small subunit ribosomal RNA", at positions 338 to 795 of the family's 1533-position model. The record is from RNAcentral.